Molecule: non-coding RNA, 343 nt
Organism: Paramuricea clavata
Lineage: Eukaryota; Metazoa; Cnidaria; Anthozoa; Malacalcyonacea; Plexauridae
Source: the annotation of a GenBank genome assembly
AAUGUGAAAAGCAAUUUUUCAAAAUAAACUAACCAUUUACAAAGCAAAUUUAACAUCAUUCGUCCAAAAAAUUAUAAAAAGUCGCUGUUAUGUGGACUUAUCUCGCAGUCUUCGGCUGAAAUGCCACCCAAAAAUGGCGGCGUGAGAAAGGCUAAUUUAUACCUGUAUUGCGACCUAUUUUAAUUAAAAUACUGUAUACCAAAAGUAAAAUGGUCAAAAUACCAAUAUACUUGAAACCUCUUGCUCGGCUAGCUUCAUUGAUACACUAUUUCGUUUUUGGUUUGUUAUUGAAGAGGUUAUGGUGAAUACAGCGAAUAAUGGUGAAAUUGUUGUCAGUAGUGAG